RNAcentral lists this ribosomal RNA (529 nucleotides) under uncultured bacterium. Its description in RNAcentral is "partial 16S ribosomal RNA". It matches the Rfam family "Bacterial small subunit ribosomal RNA", at positions 355 to 900 of the family's 1533-position model. The record is from RNAcentral.
UGGGGAAUAUUGCACAAUGGGCGAAAGCCUGAUGCAGCAACGCCGCGUGAGUGAUGAAGGUCUUCGGAUUGUAAAGCCCUGUCUUUUGGGACGAUAAUGACGGUACCAAAGGAGGAAGCCACGGCUAACUACGUGCCAGCAGCCGCGGUAAUACGUAGGUGGCGAGCGUUGUCCGGAUUUACUGGGCGUAAAGGGUGCGUAGGCGGAUGUUUAAGUGAGAUGUGAAAUACCCGGGCUUAACUUGGGUGCUGCAUUUCAAACUGGAUAUCUAGAGUGCAGGAGAGGAGAAUGGAAUUCCUAGUGUAGCGGUGAAAUGCGUAGAGAUUAGGAAGAACACCAGUGGCGAAGGCGAUUCUCUGGACUGUAACUGACGCUGAGGCACGAAAGCGUGGGUAGCAAACAGGAUUAGAUACCCUGGUAGUCCACGCCGUAAACGAUGAGUACUAGGUGUAGGAGGUAUCGACCCCUUCUGUGCCGCAGUAAACACAUUAAGUACUCCGCCUGGGAAGUACGAUCGCAAGAUUAAAAC